This 253-nucleotide ribosomal RNA is filed under the name uncultured bacterium. RNAcentral's name for it is "partial 16S ribosomal RNA". It matches the Rfam family "Bacterial small subunit ribosomal RNA", at positions 524 to 776 of the family's 1533-position model. The record is from RNAcentral.
UACGGAGGGUGCAAGCGUUAUCCGGAUUCACUGGGUUUAAAGGGUGCGUAGGAGGGCAGGUAAGUCAGUGGUGAAAUCUCCAAGCUUAACUUGGAAACUGCCGUUGAUACUAUCUGUCUUGAAUAUUGUGGAGGUGAGCGGAAUAUGUCAUGUAGCGGUGAAAUGCUUAGAUAUGACAUAGAACACCAAUUGCGAAGGCAGCUUGCUACACAGUUAUUGACACUGAGGCACGAAAGCGUGGGGAUCAAACAGG